RNAcentral lists this long non-coding RNA (939 nucleotides) under Sus scrofa (pig). RNAcentral's name for it is "lncRNA (ENSSSCG00040062845.1)". Lineage: Eukaryota; Metazoa; Chordata; Mammalia; Artiodactyla; Suidae. The record is from RNAcentral.
UCCAGGUCGCCUUCACUGGAAAUCAGUUUGCUGAAACUAUUGAUACGCAGUUCUUAACGCUGAAGAAAAGGAGGUCCUGCGCCUUGACCACACGAGCGUGGCCCUUCCUCCAGACCCCCGCUCCGGACGCGCCCACCUAGCGUCUCCCAGGAACCAUGCGGCAGCUCAAGGGGAAGCCCAAGAAGGAGACGUCCAAGGACAAGAAGGAGCGGAAGCAGGCCAUGCAGGAGGCCCGGCAGCAGAUCACCACCGUGGUGCUGCCCACGCUGGCCGUGGUCGUGGUCCUGAUCGUGGUGUUUGUGUACGUGGCCACGCGCCCCACCAUCACCGAGUGAGGGCCCGCCCCGAGGGAGGAGGCUCGGGAGGGGAGAGCAGAAGAAGGGCCUUCAUCCGCUGCGAUUUUCCUGAUGCCGAGCUCUGAGCAGGAGCCCCCGUCUGCUCUGGUCUGUGACUUGAUUAAAGGUUCUCCACUUUUCUUGGGAGGGAAUAGGAAACGUUUUAUCAGUGAACGUGCCAUACACUUUAUGGUCCACUUCAUGUGCCUUUCAGACUUCAAAGCCGUGUGUGUGUGUGUGUGUGUGUGUGUGUGUGUGUUUCUCGCCUGCAAUCGAUGUGUAGCCCCACCUGGUGAGAGGAGGCGUCUCUGGGUCACGGAUCAGUUGGAAUCAGUGCUCACCCCAUCCCUGUUGUUUUGAACAUGACUUUCCUACACGUGUUCACAAUUUCCAAAGGGACUGUGUUUCUUCUCUGUGCUUCAUGUGAUUUGAAAUAUGUCGACUCAAAAGUGAAAUAUUUAUUUUUUGAAUAAAGGAGAUGAUAGCCUUAAAUUGGAUGUUUAUCUUGUUUUGCCAGGAGGUGGCCUUGCUCUGUCCGGGGAGCCCCACCCCCGCUGGGCAGUGUCCCUCUUACCCUCCGUCCCCUGGACAUUCUCCACCCCCC